GCUGCUAUAGCUCAGGGGUAGAGCGCGUCAUUGGUAAUGACGAGGUCGACAGUUCAAUUCUGUCUAGCAGCACCA
Molecule: transfer RNA, 75 nt
Filed under: Pseudomonas fluorescens
Lineage: Bacteria; Pseudomonadati; Pseudomonadota; Gammaproteobacteria; Pseudomonadales; Pseudomonadaceae
Also listed under: 1 other name
Description: tRNA-Thr
Rfam family: tRNA
About the family: Transfer RNA (tRNA) molecules are approximately 80 nucleotides in length.
Source: RNAcentral